AAUCAACGCUGGCGGCGUGCCUCAGACAUGCAAGUCGAACGAGAACCUCCCUUCGGGGAGGGGACAGUGGCGCACGGGUGAGUAACACGUGGGUAAUUUACCUUUGGGUGGGGAACAACAGCCGGAAACGGCUGCUAAUACCGCAUAAUGCAGCGGCUCGACAUCGAGACAGUUGUUAAAGCGGGGGAGUCGCAAGACCUCGCGCCUGAAGAGAAGCCUGCGGCGGAUUAGCAGUUGGUAGGGUAAUGGCCUACCAAGGCGACGAUCUGUAACCGGCCUGAGAGGGCGGUCGGUCACACUGACACUGACAUACGGGUCAGACUCCUACGGGAGGC
This 335-nucleotide ribosomal RNA is filed under the name uncultured bacterium. Its description in RNAcentral is "bacterial SSU rRNA". It matches the Rfam family "Bacterial small subunit ribosomal RNA", at positions 32 to 349 of the family's 1533-position model. The record is from RNAcentral.